Molecule: non-coding RNA, 73 nt
Organism: Parelaphostrongylus tenuis
Lineage: Eukaryota; Metazoa; Nematoda; Chromadorea; Rhabditida; Metastrongylidae
Source: the annotation of a GenBank genome assembly
GCCUCAGUGGUGCAACGGUUCAGCACGAGCUCGCGGAAUGAGUGAGGUCUGGGCUCGAAUCCCGGCUGGUGCA